UGCCGCGUGUGUGAUGAAGGUCUUUCGGAUUGUAAAGCACUUUAAGUUGGGAGGAAGGGCAGUUACCUAAUACUGGAUUGUAUUGACCGGCCCGAUACAUGACACCCCGCCUAAUUCUAUGCCAGCAGCCGCGGUAAUACGGAUGGUGCGAGCGUAAAUCGGAAUUACGGGGCGUGACGCGCCCAUAGGUGGUUUGUUAAGCUGGAUGUGAAAUCUGCGGGCUCAACCGGGGAACUGCAUUCCAAAAUGACAGACUGGAAUAUGGGGUAUGGUGGUGAAAUUCGCUGAUAUCAGGAGGAACACCGGUGGCGAAGGCGGGUCUCUGGGCCGAUACUGACGCUGAUGAGCGAAAGCGUGGGGAGCGAACAGGAUUAGAUACCCUGGUAGUCCAUGCUGUAAACGUUGGGCGCUAGGUGUGGGGGGCCCCUCCGGUUCUCUGUGCCGCAGCUAACGCAUUAAGCGCCCCGCCUGGGGAGUACGGCCGCAAGGCUAAAACUCAAAGGAAUUGACGGGGGCCCGCACAAGCGGCGGAGCAUGCGGAUUAAUUCGAUGCAACGCGAAGAACCUUACCUGGGUUUGACAUGUCCGCAGAACUUCCAGAGAUG
Molecule: ribosomal RNA, 605 nt
Filed under: Micromonosporaceae bacterium Ri3Ps_5462
Lineage: Bacteria; Bacillati; Actinomycetota; Actinomycetes; Micromonosporales; Micromonosporaceae
Description: bacterial SSU rRNA
Rfam family: Bacterial small subunit ribosomal RNA
Source: RNAcentral